Molecule: ribosomal RNA, 301 nt
Filed under: uncultured bacterium
Lineage: Bacteria
Description: partial 16S ribosomal RNA
Rfam family: Bacterial small subunit ribosomal RNA
Source: RNAcentral
CAGUAGCCGCGGUAAUACGUAGAGUGCAAGCGUUAAUCGGAAUUACUGGGCGUAAAGCGUGCGCAGGCGGUGAUGUAAGACAGUUGUGAAAUCCCCGGGCUCAACCUGGGAACUGCAUCUGUGACUGCAUCGCUGGAGUGCGGCAGAGGGGGAUGGAAUUCCGCGUGUAGCAGUGAAAUGCGUAGAUAUGCGGAGGAACACCGAUGGCGAAGGCAAUCCCCUGGGCCUGCACUGACGCUCAUGCACGAAAGCAUGGGGAGCAAACAGGAUUAGAUACCCCGGUAGUCCCUGUCUCUUAUAC